UGGCUGUGAAAUGAGUUCCUUGGUCA
RNAcentral lists this non-coding RNA (26 nucleotides) under Mus musculus (house mouse). The record is from RNAcentral. Lineage: Eukaryota; Metazoa; Chordata; Mammalia; Rodentia; Muridae.